Molecule: ribosomal RNA, 253 nt
Filed under: uncultured bacterium
Lineage: Bacteria
Description: partial 16S ribosomal RNA
Rfam family: Bacterial small subunit ribosomal RNA
Source: RNAcentral
GACGUAGGGCGCGAGCGUUGUCCGGAAUUAUUGGGCGUAAAGAGCUCGUAGGCGGCCUGUUGCGUCCGCUGUGAAAGCCCGGGGCUUAACCCCGGGUCGGCAGUGGAUACGGGCAGGCUAGAGGUAGGUAGGGGAGAAUGGAAUUCCCGGUGUAGCGGUGAAAUGCGCAGAUAUCGGGAGGAACACCGGUGGCGAAGGCGGUUCUCUGGGCCUUACCUGACGCUGAGGAGCGAAAGCGUGGGGAGCGAACAGG